Molecule: unclassified non-coding RNA, 505 nt
Filed under: Hevea brasiliensis (rubber tree)
Lineage: Eukaryota; Viridiplantae; Streptophyta; Magnoliopsida; Malpighiales; Euphorbiaceae
Source: RNAcentral
UUUUUGGAACUUGAAUUUUUGGGAUAAUGCUAGUACUUUAGCUGGUGAAGUUGAACAACCUCAAAAGACAUUUCCUAAAGCACUUUUUUCAGCUGGGAUUGUUACAUGUAUUAGUUACGUGUUGCCGCUUUUGGGUACUAGUGGUGCUGUCCCUUUGGAACAAGGUGAGUGGACUGAUGGUUAUUUUGCUAAUUUGGCUUCUAUGAUUGCUGGGAAUUGGUUGAAGUAUUGGAUGGAACUUGGGAUUGUUCUGUCUGUGAUUGGUUUGUAUGAGGCUCAGUUGAGUAGUUGUGCUUACCAAAUUCUUGGAAUGGCUGAGAUGGGGUUGUUGCCUCGGGUUUUCGGUGUAAGAUCAGAAUGGUUCAACACACCUUGGGUUGGGAUUCUUGUACCAACAUUAGUAGCAUUGGUUGUGUCCUACAUGACAUUCACAGAUAUUGUGUCAUCUGUGAAUUUCUUGUAUAGUCUCGGGAUGCUGCUAGAGUUUGCAUCGUUUUUGUGGUUG